This 503-nucleotide long non-coding RNA is filed under the name Marmota monax (woodchuck). Lineage: Eukaryota; Metazoa; Chordata; Mammalia; Rodentia; Sciuridae. The record is from RNAcentral.
GUGGGGCAGUCAGCACCCUGCUAGGGUAAAUUUUGCCUGCUGAGAAGGGGAUAAGCCACCUGAGAAAAAUAAAGUCUGAAAUAGUGAAGAAAUAAGAGUCAGAGCCAGGAAAUAGUUUUAAAAGGGAUGGAGCGCCGGAUAGUUUCUUCCAGCCCAUACAGGAGCUGGAAUUUAGAAUGACUAGAAAAUGGCACCAGUUCUUUAAUUAAGGGAGUACAUCUAAAAGCAGGGAUAAGGUUUCAGCAGGAAGAGUCUUGCUUCUCCGUGUGGCAGGGGACUUGCCGCAAACAGAUUGAUUGGCAUCUUGGCAGACCACACCCAUCUCUGAGAGGCUGUGUGUCUAUGUGGCUGCAGCAGGUCACCCCAUCUUCGGUGUUGUGCAGGACCUUUGACAGAGCUGGCUGGGAGUUCACAUGUAUUUGGGCCAUCUCUCCAGCAGGAAUGCUGCUGUAAGUUCCCAGAUACUAGACUUUCCCACUCAAUGGUUUCCAUGCCCAUGUGGU